This 498-nucleotide ribosomal RNA is filed under the name uncultured bacterium. Its description in RNAcentral is "partial 16S ribosomal RNA". It matches the Rfam family "Bacterial small subunit ribosomal RNA", at positions 30 to 523 of the family's 1533-position model. The record is from RNAcentral.
AUUGAACGCUGGCGGCAUGCCUUACACAUGCAAGUCGAACGGUAACAGGUCUUCGGAUGCUGACGAGUGGCGAACGGGUGAGUAAUACAUCGGAACGUGCCUAGUUGUGGGGGAUAACUACUCGAAAGAGUGGCUAAUACCGCAUGAGAUCUACGGAUGAAAGCAGGGGAUCUCAAGACCUUGUGCUACUAGAGCGGCCGAUGGCAGAUUAGGUAGGUGGGGGGAUAAAAGCUUACCAAGCCGACGAUCUGUAGCUGGUCUGAGGGGACGAUUAGCCACACUGGGACUGAGACACGGCCCAGACUCCUACGGGAGGCAGCAGUGGGGAAUUUUGGACAAUGGGCGAAAGCCUGAUCCAGCAAUGCCGCGUGCAGGAUGAAGGCCUUCGGGUUGUAAACUGCUUUUGUACGGAACGAAAAGCCCCGGGUUAAUACCCUGGGGUCAUGACGGUACCGUAAGAAUAAGCACCGGCUAACUACGUGCCAGCCGCCGCGGUAA